This 154-nucleotide ribosomal RNA is filed under the name bacterium 081642. RNAcentral's name for it is "partial 16S rRNA". It matches the Rfam family "Bacterial small subunit ribosomal RNA", at positions 355 to 507 of the family's 1533-position model. The record is from RNAcentral.
UAAGGAAUAUUGGUCAAUGGAGGCAACUCUGAACCAGCCAUGCCGCGUGCAGGAUGACUGCCCUAUGGGUUGUAAACUGCUUUUAUACGGGAAUAAUUCCAGAUACGUGUAUUUGGUUGAAUGUACUGUAAGAAUAAGGAUCGCUAACUCCGUG